RNAcentral lists this ribosomal RNA (607 nucleotides) under Halomonas fontilapidosi. RNAcentral describes it as "bacterial SSU rRNA". It matches the Rfam family "Bacterial small subunit ribosomal RNA", at positions 87 to 690 of the family's 1533-position model. Lineage: Bacteria; Pseudomonadati; Pseudomonadota; Gammaproteobacteria; Oceanospirillales; Halomonadaceae. The record is from RNAcentral.
CGUUCUGAGCGGCGGACGGGUGAGUAAUGCAUAGGAAUCUGCCCGGUAGUGGGGGAUAACCUGGGGAAACUCAGGCUAAUACCGCAUACGCCCUACGGGGGAAAGCAGGGGCUCUUCGGACCUUGCGCUAUCGGAUGAGCCUAUGUCGGAUUAGCUAGUUGGUGAGGUAAUGGCUCACCAAGGCGACGAUCCGUAGCUGGUCUGAGAGGAUGAUCAGCCACAUCGGGACUGAGACACGGCCCGAACUCCUACGGGAGGCAGCAGUGGGGAAUAUUGGACAAUGGGCGAAAGCCUGAUCCAGCCAUGCCGCGUGUGUGAAGAAGGCUUUCGGGUUGUAAAGCACUUUCAGUGAGGAAGAACGCCUUGGGGCUAAUACCCCCGAGGGAAGACAUCACUCACAGAAGAAGCACCGGCUAACUCCGUGCCAGCAGCCGCGGUAAUACGGAGGGUGCAAGCGUUAAUCGGAAUUACUGGGCGUAAAGCGCGCGUAGGCGGCGUGAUAAGCCGGUUGUGAAAGCCCCGGGCUCAACCUGGGAACGGCAUCCGGAACUGUCAGGCUAGAGUGCAGGAGAGGAAGGUAGAAUUCCCGGUGUAGCGGUGAAAUGCG